CAGAGCACACAGUCGCGUUCUUAGUUUUGGGAGAAAUUAAGCUGCUUCUCGUCAUGUAUUUUGCUCAAGAGAUGUCUGUGAGCAGCUCCAGUCCAGAUGAUGCAGUGAUGGGCAGGGAAGGUGCUAGAAAAAGCUCAUCUGCAAAUACUAGACUGGGAGAAAACAGGUUUAUAGAUCAGGAGAGUGGAGUUAUCGAGGGUCAAACACAGAUCAGACACAGACAGGAUGAUGUGCUGGAGAACAGAGGGAAAUGCAUCAAAAGGAAAAGCAGUAUGGACAAUCUUGUCAACUUUUCAGGAGAGACUCCAGCUAUGACUGAUGAGAUUCCUCAGAGGAAAGAUCAGAUCAGGCUGCUUCUGCUGGGACUGACAGGAGUGGGGGGAAUUGUCAGUGUAAACACCAUCAGCAGCAGAAACUGCAUUCAGUUCUUCAUCAGUUCAGUUUCUCAGUGUCAGUCAGAAACUAUAGUGAGGAACAGAAAACUGGUCUCAGUCAUCAACACUGCUGGAUUGUGUGACAGCUUGUAUAAAGCACAGUUAAGAGGAUUUGGAUGACAGAGUGUAAACAAAUCAUUGCAGAAAUGCAGACGUGACGGCAGUCGAGUCUCAACAUGAAGCUGUCAGGGUGGGUGUUGAUCUGGAUGGUGGAUUUCUGUCACAUCCACAGCCUCUGUUUCUGCCUGUUUCAAACCAUCUAUCCUCACAGUAGAUCAGCUCUUUAGAGAAGGAGGAUAAUAUGCAGCCUGUGAUCUCUGCUACAGUAUAUAAUGUAUAACAGCUAUAAUGAUCUGCUUCAGGAGUGACGUUUACAUUUAAUGAACGUCAACAGUGAUAUUUACAGUAUACUAGACUGAACUGAAUCAGUUUCAGUUUAUCUAGAGCUACAGCAGCUUUCUCCAGCUGCCAGAUGAGCUGGAAUAAUCAUCAAUCUGCAGCAUCAGGGCUCUUUCUUCAUCUGUGUAGCUGAUUUGACAGUUUAUAUUGUAUAAAUAUAUAGAUGAAUUGAAUUAAACAUGAUGCUGAACAUGAAAAGCAUUCAAACGUUCUGUAUAUAACACUUUAUAAGUGCUAAUAAACAGUUAAUAUUAAACAUUCAGCUUAUCAAUGUGUAUCUAUUGCUGCAUUGGCAGGUGUGUGUGUGUGUGUCUCUCCCGCUCUUUACAUCUGCAGGCCCUGCCCUAGUAUGCAGAUGACGUGCCCUGGGAUU
Molecule: long non-coding RNA, 1206 nt
Organism: Danio rerio (zebrafish)
Lineage: Eukaryota; Metazoa; Chordata; Actinopteri; Cypriniformes; Danionidae
Product: zgc:194659
Source: RefSeq, marked predicted